RNAcentral lists this ribosomal RNA (273 nucleotides) under uncultured bacterium. RNAcentral describes it as "partial 16S ribosomal RNA". It matches the Rfam family "Bacterial small subunit ribosomal RNA", at positions 28 to 300 of the family's 1533-position model. The record is from RNAcentral.
GACGAACGCUGGCGGCGUGCUUAACACAUGCAAGUCGAGCGGUAAGGCCCUUUCGGGGGUACACGAGCGGCGAACGGGUGAGUAACACGUGGGUGACCUGCCCUCAGCUCUGGGAUAAGCCUGGGAAACCGGGUCUAGUACUGGAUAUGACUCCAUGACGCAUGUUGGUGGGGUGGAAAGCCUUGUGCGGCUGAGGAGUGGGCCCGCGGCCUAUCAGCUUGUUGGGUGGGGUGAGGCCUACCAAGGCGACGACGGGUAGCCGGCCUGAGAGGG